AGUUGAGCUCUGGCAGAGAGAGCGAGUCAGGGUCAGCGAAGAGCGGAGCCCCGGGACCUCGUCCCCUGAGCUGCCAAUCGCCAGGACUCCCACACCCAGGAAGCGAGAAGCGGCAACUAUGCAGCAUUGGGAGCAGCAAGGCGAACAAGUCCAUGCUUCGUCUCGCAACGAGGGACGAAAUAUUAUUUUAGCUCUUGUGAACGGAAUCCUCAAUUGUACGCCUUGAAUUGUGAGAUUGCAGAGUGGCGAGAAGUGUGGAUAAAUAGGUUAGCAGCGUACUAUUACCGUGAACAUGGCUGUGAGCGAGUGUGGAGCCGGUGCAGCGGGGCUUUUCCCAGUUUCAAUGCAAGUUGGGCUUUUACCGCCAGAACGUGCGCCGGAUGCAUCGUGGGCGCAGAGGUUGAAUCGAAUCCAGAUAACAGGCCCCAACAGCUCCUAAUGGUAUUACAAUCUCAGUCAUCUAGGCCAAUGUCAGAAGAUCCUACAGGAGGGUGAACCCUUGGAAAGCGUCUGGAGCUGAUGGUAUACCUGGUCAUGUUCUUAAAACCUGUUCAGUCCAAAUAGCAGGUCUUUGUGGACUUCACCAUCCAGGUUCAGGAGCAGCUUCUUCCCUACAGCAACCAGGCUAUUAAACACUUCAACCUCCAAAUAAGCUCUGAGCUGCAUAGACUUAGGGAGCAUUGUUUUUUGUAUUUACACUAUUAUAAUUUGCUUGUUUUUUUAAUAUUGUGACACCCCCCCUCCCGUGGAAGCCGUGCUGAUCCCUAUAACUAACUAAUGAACCAGGAGAGGCCAAUCCCCAGCAUCAUUGGUAACUGUUGGGUCCAAUUAGCUGAUAUUGGUUGGCUACUUGAACCUUGUCAGCCUGCUCCUGAUAAAACUCAGGCAUUCCAGCCAGAGGGGAGAAAGAAGAGAUUGAGAAGAAGCAGGAGAAAAAGAGGAA
Molecule: long non-coding RNA, 943 nt
Organism: Amblyraja radiata (thorny skate)
Lineage: Eukaryota; Metazoa; Chordata; Chondrichthyes; Rajiformes; Rajidae
Exons: 3
Source: RefSeq, a predicted model, not a curated record